RNAcentral lists this ribosomal RNA (297 nucleotides) under uncultured bacterium. Its description in RNAcentral is "partial 16S ribosomal RNA". It matches the Rfam family "Bacterial small subunit ribosomal RNA", at positions 334 to 648 of the family's 1533-position model. The record is from RNAcentral.
UAAUCCUACGGGAGGCAGCAGUGGGGGAUAUUGCACAAUGGGGGGAACCCUGAUGCAGCGACGCCGCGUGGGUGAAGAAGCGCCUCGGCGCGUAAAGCCCUGUCAGCAGGGAAGAAAAUGACGGUACCUGAAGAAGAAGCCCCGGCUAACUACGUGCCAGCAGCCGCGGUAAUACGUAGGGGGCAAGCGUUAUCCGGAUUUACUGGGUGUAAAGGGGGCGCAGACGGCGAUGCAAGCCAGGAGUGAAAGCCUGGGGCCCAACCCCGGUACUGCUCUUGGACCUGGGUGGCUGGAGUG